Molecule: transfer RNA, 76 nt
Filed under: Methanomassiliicoccales archaeon PtaU1.Bin124
Lineage: Archaea; Methanobacteriati; Thermoplasmatota; Thermoplasmata; Methanomassiliicoccales
Also listed under: 2 other names
Description: tRNA-Asn
Rfam family: tRNA
About the family: Transfer RNA (tRNA) molecules are approximately 80 nucleotides in length. Their secondary structure includes four short double-helical elements and three loops (D, anti-codon, and T loops).
Source: RNAcentral
GCCGUCGUAGCUCAGUCGGUAGAGCGUGUGACUGUUAAUCACAAGGUCAGCGGUUCGAUCCCGCUCGACGGCGCCA